Molecule: ribosomal RNA, 118 nt
Organism: Lepisosteus oculatus (spotted gar)
Lineage: Eukaryota; Metazoa; Chordata; Actinopteri; Semionotiformes; Lepisosteidae
Source: Ensembl
AUCAGCAGCCAUAUCACCCUGCAACUCACAACUGGCAACCCACUGAAGCUAAGCAGGUGUGAGCCUGGUCAGUACCUGGAUGGGAGACCUCUGGGAAAAACUAAGGUUGCUGCUGGAA